GUCUAAAGUUUAAUGAUAACAGUACAGGUAUCCCUUCCACAUUGUGACUUUCUCCAUCACAGUUUUGAUAUAUUGCAGCUUCUCAAGAUGGAGAGACCCUCUCACUGCUCUCCAAGACAGAGUCUCCUCCUCCUCUGGAAUCCACUCCUGGGGCCCCUCCCUCAUCAAGCAGGAAGAAGGGGGCUGACUCAUUAUCUGAAGAAAUGGAAAGGUUUGUUUGAAAUGGGAGCCAAUGGUGAAUGCAGAAACUGUUUUACUGCUUUUAUAGGACUCCACAGAAUUAGCCCUGAUAAAAUAUUUACCAGGGAAAAAAGUGAGUUAAAUAUAUGGAUUAAAGCUAUUAAAUGGCUCAUAAUAGCCAUUUUUAUAUUGGAUUAAUUGGAAUAAUUGGAUUAAUCAAACAGCAUCUAUCUGUGCACUUUGGUGAUAAAUACUAUAAAUAUAAUGAUAUAAUAUUAGAGAAAAAGUAUAAACAGGGGAAAUUCCAAUAGCAAAGUUGCAUGUCUCAACUUUGAUAAAAAGCUGAGAUUGCUUUGAUUGAACUGGGUUAUUCAUCAUGAUUCGGAUUUUUAAAGUAGUUUGCACUGGGGUUUCUGAGGGGUCAUUUUUAUUAGGAGACUGCCUAAUAGGAUUAAAGCAACAAUUCCUAAGUCUUCCUACCCUCUUUAAACAUUGCUCUCCUCCCUCUCUCCCAGCCCAGGACUCUAAUAGUAUACUUUAAAAUUUCAAGUAACAAUUCACUAUUUGGAACUUUUGGUACUGCCUCUGCAGCCAGAGAGAAGGGGGGGAGAGAGGGCCCAAUCUCACUGGCUUACUAUUUGGGAACUUUCUGAGAGCUGCAAUACUUUGCUUUAUGCUCAGAAUAUGGGGGUUGUUAGAGCUGAGGCCAUAAGUGUCUAAGAAAGUGUCCCACCCACACAGUCGUCCUUGGGGAAUAAGCCUGCUCAGUUUUCUAUUUCAUGAAUGUUAUAGCUGAAUGGGGCUUUAGGAGAAUAUUGAGUCCACUGAGAUUCUUUCCCCACUGUCAUGUAUCAGGUACCUUGGAAUCUCAUCUCUUCUGGCUUUCCACUAUCAGAGAAGCUAGUGGUUAAAGGAAGCUUUUUAAAAAAAUGUUUUUUAAGCCUAUGGAGGUUGGGCCACAUUUGAAAAGCAAUGGGAGGACAGGUGUUCAGAGAGCUUCUCAUCCCAGAGCUUAGCAACAAGAAUGAAACCUUUCUCUACUGGGUACAACUUAAUUUGCAGAUUUAACAAGCUGCCUAUGCCUACCUUCCAACCUUAUUUGACAUCAAUGCCCCUCAAAAUUAGGAGGGAGCACCAAUUAUUUUCUGGCAUGGCAGCAAUACAUCUUGGGUCUCAAUUUCUACCUGCAUUACCUCCU
This 1378-nucleotide long non-coding RNA is filed under the name Monodelphis domestica (gray short-tailed opossum). RNAcentral describes it as "lncRNA (ENSMODG00000050245.1)". Lineage: Eukaryota; Metazoa; Chordata; Mammalia; Didelphimorphia; Didelphidae. The record is from RNAcentral.